Molecule: transfer RNA, 76 nt
Filed under: Alphaproteobacteria bacterium
Lineage: Bacteria; Pseudomonadati; Pseudomonadota; Alphaproteobacteria
Also listed under: 7 other names
Description: tRNA-Val
Rfam family: tRNA
About the family: Transfer RNA (tRNA) molecules are approximately 80 nucleotides in length.
Source: RNAcentral
GGGCGAUUAGCUCAGUUGGUAGAGCAUCUCGUUUACACCGAGGGGGUCGGCGGUUCGAGUCCGUCAUCGCCCACCA